CGCACAGGUGGCUUAGUGGUUAUAGCGUCCCUCUCGGAUGUAGGAGGUCGUGGGUUUGAACCCCAGCCGUGUCA
Non-coding RNA from Potamilus streckersoni, 74 nucleotides. NCBI's taxonomy places the organism in Eukaryota, Metazoa, Mollusca, Bivalvia, Unionida, Unionidae. The record is from the annotation of a GenBank genome assembly.